RNAcentral lists this transfer RNA (66 nucleotides) under Graptacme eborea. RNAcentral describes it as "tRNA-Val". The record is from RNAcentral. Lineage: Eukaryota; Metazoa; Mollusca; Scaphopoda; Dentaliida; Dentaliidae.
AAAUAAAAAACAAAUUAAGUUAUCUUCUCAGUGUAAGCGAGAUAUAAUAAUUUAUACUAUUUUAUU